AAGUACCCCGAGGAAAAGAAAUCAACCGAGAUUCCCCCAGUAGCGGCGAGCGAACGGGGAGCAGCCCAGAGUCUGAAUCAGCUUGUGUGUUAGUGGAACGGUCUGGAAAGUCCGACGGUACAGGGUGAUAGUCCCGUACACCAAAAUGCACAGGUUGUGAACUCGAAGAGUAGGGCGGGACACGUGGUAUCCUGUCUGAAUAUGGGGGGACCAUCCUCCAAGGCUAAAUACUCCUGACUGACCGAUAGUGAACCAGUACCGUGAGGGAAAGGCGAAAAGAACCCCGGCGAGGGGAGUGAAAAAGAACCU
This 309-nucleotide ribosomal RNA is filed under the name Klebsiella pneumoniae. Its description in RNAcentral is "bacterial LSU rRNA". It matches the Rfam family "Bacterial large subunit ribosomal RNA", at positions 204 to 551 of the family's 2925-position model. Lineage: Bacteria; Pseudomonadati; Pseudomonadota; Gammaproteobacteria; Enterobacterales; Enterobacteriaceae. The record is from RNAcentral. RNAcentral also lists the same sequence under 2 other names.